Molecule: ribosomal RNA, 736 nt
Filed under: Micarea stipitata
Lineage: Eukaryota; Fungi; Ascomycota; Lecanoromycetes; Lecanorales; Micareaceae
Description: SSU rRNA
Rfam family: Bacterial small subunit ribosomal RNA
Source: RNAcentral
AAUGGCCUAACGGCUGAACCAGCAACUUGGAGGAAUGUAUAGCAAUUGCUAAUUGCACCAAUCGCAAUAUCGAUUUAAUCGAAUAAAAUUCUGGGUAAAAUUAUGAUAAUGACAUUAUUUACCUAUGUGUCUUGACCAAAUUACGUGCCAGCAGUCGCGGUAACACGUAAAAGACUAGUGUUAUUCAUCUUUAAUAGGUUUAAAGGGUACCUAGACGGUAAAUAAAGCUUUUAAGGACUGAUUUACUAGAGUUAUAUACGAGGGAGUUUUAACGUACUAGAGGUGAAGAGAUGAAAUUCUGUCAUACCUUUUUUCUUUAGAAAAACUUGGCACAGGUAUAGGUGAAAACAUCUCCUUAUGUAUUAGCUCUUUAUCGCAAACAGGAUUAGAUACCCUGGUAGUCAGAGCAGAAAAUGAUGAGUGUCAUAGAUUAAUUUAUUCUAUAAAUGAAAGUGUAAGCACUCCACCUCAAGAGUAAUUUGGCAACAUUGGAACUGAAAUCAUUAGACCGUUUCUGAAACCAGUAGUGAAGUAUGUUGUUUAAUUUGAUAAUCCGCAAAAAACCUUACCAUGAAUGUUUACAAGCGUUGCACGGCUGUCUUCAGUUAAUGUCGUGAGACUAUGGUUAGCUCCAUUAAAUUAACGUAAACCCUUACUUUAUUUUUAAAUAGAGUAGUUCUCCACUAUAUUGGAUAAGAUAACAGGGACUAAGACAAGUCAUCAUGGCCUGAAUGUU